GGGGGUAUAGUUUAAUGGUAAAACGAUGAACUUGCAUUUCGUUAAUUCAAGUUCAAGUCUUGAUAUCUCCA
RNAcentral lists this transfer RNA (71 nucleotides) under Rickettsiales bacterium. Its description in RNAcentral is "tRNA-Ala". It matches the Rfam family "tRNA". Rfam says of the family: Transfer RNA (tRNA) molecules are approximately 80 nucleotides in length. Their secondary structure includes four short double-helical elements and three loops (D, anti-codon, and T loops). The record is from RNAcentral. Lineage: Bacteria; Pseudomonadati; Pseudomonadota; Alphaproteobacteria; Rickettsiales.